GCCCUCCUGGGCUGCAAUCCAGAAGAACUGGAAGCUCGAAAGGACCGGUCAAAGGAAUUGAUCCAAAGCUCGAGUAUGGUACGAGGAUCCACUCCGUACCCUUUCAAGGAAGUUUAACGCAAUGAUAAGCCCCGCCUAUUUAUUUGCAUAGUUGAAAGUCAAACGAAGCGAGGUGACAAAACAAAGAAAAUCAACAGGAGAUAGAAGCCUUAAAGGCCUGACCGAUUCCAAUUCCAAUAAUGGUACGAUGCUUUAG
Molecule: long non-coding RNA, 256 nt
Filed under: Solanum pimpinellifolium
Lineage: Eukaryota; Viridiplantae; Streptophyta; Magnoliopsida; Solanales; Solanaceae
Description: long non-coding RNA (SPIM_LNC000235)
Source: RNAcentral